Molecule: long non-coding RNA, 1046 nt
Filed under: Cyanistes caeruleus (blue tit)
Lineage: Eukaryota; Metazoa; Chordata; Aves; Passeriformes; Paridae
Description: lncRNA (ENSCCEG00000021543.1)
Source: RNAcentral
UUUUUUUUCCCCUCUCUUCUGCUCUCUGUCUUGCCUUUAACCGCUACCAGCUCAGCUUGGUUUAAACACUUUUCCUGGCCAAUGCAGGACUGAGUGCCCAUCCAACUUACCCGGGGACUUAAAUGUGGGCUUCUGCAUCCGACAAAUAUGGUUGUGUCUGUGGCUCCCAAGGUCUGAGCCCAGUCUCUCUGCCAUGGGCUGUGCUGGGACAAGUGCCUGCCUCCACCUUGGCCCCGCUGGCGUCUCACUUCUCCAGUGCCCAGCCCUGCACAGGGGCUGACUUCAAAGUCCCCAAAGGCAUGUGCUAUCUUUUGGGGGUUGCUUGUCUGCGGGGUAGUGUCUCGCUCCCAGUGACCAGCAGAGGAAAAAUCAUUGGAUUCACUAGGUAAGAUGCUUUCUUCUUCCUAUGCUUUAAUCUCUACUUACUGAUAAAGCAAUCGCGUGUCUGGGGCUGAUGAGUUCUCUCACUCUGGUGAAUGGAGCAGCCCUUCCCGGUGGUUUGUAAAUCAGUAGCUGGCCAUUCGAUUCUUGGCUUUCUGAAAACAAAUUGGCUUUUUGUUUCCAAAUUGUAGGAUGGAGGCAAUUGGGAAUUGAUACAUAUUUAACUUUCUCCCACAUGGCUUUGUCUGAAAUGAAACCUGUGUGCGUAUACAGCAAAGGCUUUCCUCUAAACCACAUUUUGGUCUUUUUUAAAUGCUAGAAGUUUAUGAUUUAGAAUGAAACACCUACUUUUUAGGUGGAGUGGGAGGCUGGCUUUUACUCUGUGCCGUUUAGGUUUCAAAGAGCCCCUGCCAGGGCAGCCACUGGACCUCUGCUGCUUUGUGUCCAGCGAAUGAUGCAGUUCCCCUUCCCAGGACCCAAAAUCCAUCACCUGCCGAGGGCUCAGCCCAGCAUUACCGGCGAGGAUCGGGAGCUGGGCUGUGUGUCUGUCUGCACAUGGGCUGGGCAGGAGGAAAGUCUGCUGGUUUGAACUGAGCCGUAACUCACUCUCAGGAUGUAAAUUGUAAAUCAGCGUUAUUUUUCCUCCUGUGACCAUAUAAAUGCGC